GUGAGGAAUAUUGCGCAAUGGAGGCAACUCUGACGCAGCCAUGCCGCGUGCAGGAAGAAGGCGCUACGCGUUGUAAACUGCUUUUAACCGGGAAGAAACCCCAGGACGUGUCCUGGGGUGACGGUACCGGAGGAAUAAGCACCGGCUAACUUCGUGCCAGCAGCCGCGGUAAUACGAAGGGUGCAAGCGUUAUCCGGAUUCAUUGGGUUUAAAGGGUGCGUAGGCGGAGCGUUAAGUCAGUGGUGAAAUCCUGCAGCUUAACUGUAGACUUGCCAUUGAUACUGGCGCUCUUGAGUGCGCUUGAAGUGGGCGGAAUGUGCCGUGUAGCGGUGAAAUGCUUAGAUAUGGCACAGAACACCAAUUGCGAAGGCAGCUCACUAAGGCGAUACUGACGCUGAGGCACGAAAGCGUGGGGAUCGAACAGGAUUAGAUACCCUUGUAGUCC
Molecule: ribosomal RNA, 445 nt
Filed under: uncultured bacterium
Lineage: Bacteria
Description: partial 16S ribosomal RNA
Rfam family: Bacterial small subunit ribosomal RNA
Source: RNAcentral